This 453-nucleotide ribosomal RNA is filed under the name uncultured Bacteroides sp. RNAcentral's name for it is "partial 16S ribosomal RNA". It matches the Rfam family "Bacterial small subunit ribosomal RNA", at positions 341 to 792 of the family's 1533-position model. Lineage: Bacteria; Pseudomonadati; Bacteroidota; Bacteroidia; Bacteroidales; Bacteroidaceae. The record is from RNAcentral.
ACGGAAGGCAGCAGUGAGGAAUAUUGGUCAAUGGGCGGAAGCCUGAACCAGCCAAGUCGCGUGAAGGAUGAAGGUAUUAUGUAUUGUAAACUUCUUUAGACGUAGAGAAAUAAGGGGCUCGUGAGCCCUGAUGCUAGUAUACGUAGAAUAAGGAUCGGCUAACUCCGUGCCAGCAGCCGCGGUAAUACGGAGGAUCCGAGCGUUAUCCGGAUUUAUUGGGUUUAAAGGGUGCGCAGGCGGUCUUUUAAGUCAGUGGUUAAAUAGCGGUGCUCAACGCCGUCCCGCCAUUGAUACUGGAGAGCUUGAUUGCGGUCGAGGUUUGCGGAAUUCGUCGUGUAGCGGUGAAAUGCAUAGAUAUGACGAAGAACACCGAUUGCGUAGGCAGCAGACCAGGCCGUAAAUGACGCUCAUGCACGAAAGUGCGAGGAUCGAACAGGAUUAGAUACCCUGGUA